This 461-nucleotide ribosomal RNA is filed under the name uncultured bacterium. RNAcentral describes it as "bacterial SSU rRNA". It matches the Rfam family "Bacterial small subunit ribosomal RNA", at positions 30 to 539 of the family's 1533-position model. The record is from RNAcentral.
CGAACGCUGGCGGCAGGCCUAACACAUGCAAGUCGAACGGACCCUUCGGGGUUAGUGGCGGACGGGUGAGUAACACGUGGGAACGUGCCCUUUGGUUCGGAACAACACAGGGAAACUUGUGCUAAUACCGUAUGUGCCCUUCGGGGGAAAGAUUUAUCGGCAAAGGAUCGGCCCGCGUUGGAUUAGGUAGUUGGUAGGGUAAUGGCCUACCAAGCCGACGAUCCAUAGCUGGUUUGAGAGGAUGAUCAGCCACACUGGGACUGAGACACGGCCCAGACUCCUACGGGAGGCAGCAGUGGGGAAUCUUAGACAAUGGGGGAAACCCUGAUCUAGCCAUGCCGCGUGAGCGAUGAAGGCCUUAGGGUUGUAAAGCUCUUUCAGUGGGAAGAUAAUGACGGUACCCACAGAAGAAGCCCCGGCUAACUCCGUGCCAGCAGCCGCGGUAAUCUGAUGGCGCGAGG